AGAGUUUGAUCUGGCUCAGGAUGAACGCUGGCGGCGUGCUUAACACAUGCAAGUAGAACGAAGCACCUUGAUUUGAUUCUUCGGAUGAAGAUCUUGGUGACUGAGUGGCGGACGGGUGAGUAACGCGUGGGUAACCUGCCUUGUACAGGGGGAUAACAGUUAGAAAUGACUGCUAAUACCGCAUAAGACCACAGCACCGCAUGGUGCAGGGGUAAAAACUCCGGUGGUAUGAGAUGGACCCGCGUCUGAUUAGGUAGUUGGUGGGGUAACGGCCUACCAAGCCGACGAUCAGUAGCCGACCUGAGAGGGUGACCGGCCACAUUGGGACUGAGACACGGCCCAAACUCCUACGGGAGGCAGCAGUGGGGAAUAUUGCACAAUGGGGGAAACCCUGAUGCAGCGACGCCGCGUGAGCGAUGAGGUAUUUCGGUAUGUAAAGCUCUAUCAGCAGGGAAGAAAAUGACGGUACCUGACUAAGAAGCACCGGCUAAAUACGUGCCAGCAGCCGCGGUAAUACGUAUGUGCAAGCGUUAUCCGGAUUUACUGGGUGUAAAGGGAGCGUAGACGGAGUGGCAAGUCUGAUGUGAAAACCCGGGGCUCAACCCCGGGACUGCAUUGGAAACUGUCAAUCUAGAGUACCGGAGAGGUAAGCGGAAUUCCUAGUGUAGCGGUGAAAUGCGUAGAUAUUAGGAGGAACACCAGUGGCGAAGGCGGCUUACUGGACGGUAACUGACGUUGAGGCUCGAAAGCGUGGGGAGCAAACAGGAUUAGAUACCCUGGUAGUCCACGCCGUAAACGAUGACUACUAGGUGUCGGGCAGCAAAGCUGUUCGGUGCCGCAGCAAACGCAAUAAGUAGUCCACCUGGGGAGUACGUUCGCAAGAAUGAAACUCAAAGGAAUUGACGGGGACCCGCACAAGCGGUGGAGCAUGUGGUUUAAUUUGAAGCAACGCGAAGAACCUUACCUGCUCUUGACAUCUCCCUGACCGGCAAGUAAUGUUGCCUUUCCUUCGGGACAGGGAUGACAGGUGGUGCAUGGUUGUCGUCAGCUCGUGUCGUGAGAUGUUGGGUUAAGUCCCGCAACGAGCGCAACCCCUAUCUUUAGUAGCCAGCGGUUUGGCCGGGCACUCUAGAGAGACUGCCAGGGAUAACCUGGAGGAAGGUGGGGAUGACGUCAAAUCAUCAUGCCCCUUAUGAGCAGGGCUACACACGUGCUACAAUGGCGUAAACAAAGGGAGGCAGAACCGCGAGGUCGAGCAAAUCCCAAAAAUAACGUCUCAGUUCGGAUUGUAGUCUGCAACUCGACUACAUGAAGCUGGAAUCGCUAGUAAUCGCGAAUCAGAAUGUCGCGGUGAAUACGUUCCCGGGUCUUGUACACACCGCCCGUCACACCAUGGGAGUCAGUAACGCCCGAAGUCAGUGACCCAACCGUAAGGAGGGAGCUGCCGAAGGUGGGACCGAUAACUGGGGUGAAGUCGUAACAAGGUA
RNAcentral lists this ribosomal RNA (1487 nucleotides) under metagenome. RNAcentral describes it as "bacterial SSU rRNA". It matches the Rfam family "Bacterial small subunit ribosomal RNA". The record is from RNAcentral.